GCCUAGCCCUGAUAGCAGUGAAAAUCCUUUACUUUUUUUCUUUAAAAAAGUAAAGAUUGAAACGAAUAGCAGGAAUAAGC
Flavobacterium frigoris PS1 is the source of this 80-nucleotide non-coding RNA. The record is from Rfam. NCBI's taxonomy places the organism in Bacteria, Pseudomonadati, Bacteroidota, Flavobacteriia, Flavobacteriales, Flavobacteriaceae.